Molecule: long non-coding RNA, 306 nt
Filed under: Malus domestica (apple)
Lineage: Eukaryota; Viridiplantae; Streptophyta; Magnoliopsida; Rosales; Rosaceae
Description: long non-coding RNA (MDOM_LNC001395)
Source: RNAcentral
CGGCGCGUAGGGAGGGGUCGGAGGAGAAGGUGUUGAGGAAGAGGUCGUAGAGGAGCGUGGAGAGGAGGGUGGAGGAGCAGAGCUUGUUCCCCAGGUGAAACGACAGCGACCGCUCCAGCGACGAGUGGGAGAGUAUGGUGGAGUAGAGGUAGCUGGCCAGAGCCGGCUCCGACUCGGCAUCGCCCCGCGCCUCGGCUUUGAUCUGGGUCCACACCCAAGCCUCCCACUCGGCGUCCGAGGACCACUCUGCGCACCUGAGAUCGCCGGCUGGCAUCGUAUCGGAGAUGGCUACUGCUGCUGCGGCGC